Molecule: long non-coding RNA, 409 nt
Filed under: Ananas comosus (pineapple)
Lineage: Eukaryota; Viridiplantae; Streptophyta; Magnoliopsida; Poales; Bromeliaceae
Description: long non-coding RNA (ACOM_LNC010365)
Source: RNAcentral
AAGGGUAAAUUGCACGUUUGGUCCUCAAACUAUGAGGCAUGUGACAUUUUAGUUCUCAAAUUUUAAUUUAUUAUAAUUUUUUGUUUGAAUUUUCAGAAUUAUUGCAAUCAAAUCCUACAACCCAAUUUAGUUAAAUAAAUAUUGAUGCAUCGAUGAUGUAAAAGCGAUAUGACAUCUUAAUUAUUGGCGUAUUACUAAUUACAACAUUGUUAUAUUAUUUUUACAUUAGCAAUAUAUGAAUAUUUAGCCAGCAAAAUCGGAUUAUACGCGUUGUUUGCAAUAGUUCUAAAAAUUUGAGUCAAAACUUAUACAACGUUAUAGUUUGAGAACCAAAGUAUCAUCCAACUCAUAGUUUGAGGACCAAUCUUGAUAUUUACCCUCUUAUCAAUCACAAAUAUGUUUUUUUUUU